This is a non-coding RNA of Harpegnathos saltator (Jerdon's jumping ant), 73 nucleotides long. Lineage: Eukaryota; Metazoa; Arthropoda; Insecta; Hymenoptera; Formicidae. The record is from Rfam.
CGUCAGAUAGCUCAGUGGUCUAGAGCAGUUGCCUGGCAAGCGAAAGACCGGGUUUCGAUUCCCGGUCUAGCGA